AAAAGUGUGUAGUAAUACUUCGUUGUAGUUUUAAUUCUGACAACUAAGUUUUAAUUAUUUCUUACAGUUACUAAGAAAUUGUUAUUGGUCGGGCACAGUGGCUCACGCCUAUAAUCCCAGCA
Molecule: long non-coding RNA, 122 nt
Organism: Sapajus apella (tufted capuchin)
Lineage: Eukaryota; Metazoa; Chordata; Mammalia; Primates; Cebidae
Exons: 3
Source: RefSeq, a predicted model, not a curated record